This 406-nucleotide ribosomal RNA is filed under the name uncultured bacterium. RNAcentral's name for it is "partial 16S ribosomal RNA". It matches the Rfam family "Bacterial small subunit ribosomal RNA", at positions 30 to 526 of the family's 1533-position model. The record is from RNAcentral.
AUUGAACGCUAGCGGCAUGCCUUACACAUGCAAGUCGACCGAGCCGCGGAAGUGUUAUUAAUGUCUGUGAACCUUCCUGAUGGAGAGGUAUAACUACUGGAAACGGUAGCUGCUACCGCAUACAGUCGGCUGUGCCCAGAUUGGAUUAGCUAGUAGUUGGGGUAACGGCUCACCAAGACCACGAGCCCUAGCUGGUCGCAGAGGAUGACCAUCCAUACUGGAACUGAGACACGGUCCAGACGCCUACGGGAGGCAGCAGUGGGGAAUAUUGCACAAUGGGCGAAAGCCUGAUGCAGCCAUGCCGCGUGUACGAAGAAGGCCUUCGGGUUGUAAAGCACUUUUGGCAGGGAGGCGUUACCCGCAGAAGAAGCACGGGCUAACUACGUGCCAGCAGCCGCGGUAAUAC